GCAGGCGGCAGUGUGCGCGUGGUGAGCCCAGUGCGAGUGUGUGAGGCCGUGCGCGCUGUCGCUUCUCCUCAGACCGACCUACCUACUUACCUACUUACUGACCUAACCCUUCCUCUCGCCCUUCUGCGGAUAAGAGUGAGCUUUCAAGGACGAGGUUCUGGUUCGAUGAACUAUAUUUGAACGACAGGUGAUUAAAGAUAAGGAAAGAAACCCGUAUAUUUUUGAUAUGCUUAUAUAACAAGAUGCUUUCCCGGUGCUAAAGCGUUGCGAAGUAAAGGAAAGCUA
Penaeus vannamei (Pacific white shrimp) is the source of this 285-nucleotide non-coding RNA. The record is from RefSeq and is a predicted model, not a curated record. Lineage: Eukaryota; Metazoa; Arthropoda; Malacostraca; Decapoda; Penaeidae.